AAGGGAGACCUAAUUCAGGUAGGAGACGAAAAAAAAGUAGUCCCUACCAAGAAUCAAUCCCAAAAGGUCGGAGCGAGGCAAAAUUGGCUUUCAAACUAGGUUCUGGGUUCACACAAGACCUGAAUCAGGAACAAGGGCUAUUAGCUCAGGUGGUUAGAGCGCACCCCUGAUAAGGGUGAGGUCCCUGGUUCGAGUCCAGGAUGGCCCACCUGUACAGGUGGCAAAAACAAAGAAAAGAAGCGAGGAAUCAGCACCUUAUCUUACUUAUAUAGUAAGAGAGAAUGCUGGCUCUGAGUUCAGAGUCCAGAGGAACCUUGAAAACUGCAUAGAGCUAGGUGAAAAAGCCAAAAAAGAAGACCACAA
This 363-nucleotide transfer RNA is filed under the name uncultured Microcystis sp. Its description in RNAcentral is "partial 16S-23S ribosomal RNA intergenic spacer". The stretch from base 135 to 208 matches the Rfam family "tRNA". The record is from RNAcentral. Lineage: Bacteria; Bacillati; Cyanobacteriota; Cyanophyceae; Chroococcales; Microcystaceae.